This 955-nucleotide small RNA is filed under the name Pan troglodytes (chimpanzee). RNAcentral's name for it is "processed transcript". Lineage: Eukaryota; Metazoa; Chordata; Mammalia; Primates; Hominidae. The record is from RNAcentral.
ACCGCGAGGAGGCUUGAGCACUUCUGCACGCGGCGCGAGAGCUGGGUGAAUCUGAUGUCAGCAAAUCACAGAAGAAAAGAGAUGCUGCUGACAAACCAAGAGGAUUUGCCACAGGUCUUGAUCCUAAAAGAGUAAUUGGUGCCACAGAUGGCAGCGGAAAAUGGAUGUUUCUCAUGAGGUGGAAAGAUUCAGAAUGAAGAAGAUACCCAGCAGAUGUGUGCCAAGAUUCUACAAAUGGUACAUACAGGUUGGCACCCAGCAUGUGUUUCUGCUCCUUCUCCUGUUUCAGUGCCUGCCUGUGGUGAGCAAAGCCAAUAACCACUACAGCACCGAUGGCUGCCCUGGCCCCUCUCUCUGCCUGAGCACUUUGAAUAUACUGGCCCGCUGCCUUCUGGCCUCAAAAGUUUCAGUAGAGACGUGGGGAACUUUCAUGAAAAAUGCUAAUUCUGACUCCUCUCAGCGCUCAACAGAUUUGUUACACUUCAUCCACUCAGCUGCAAGAUCUAGAGUGCUUUCAGAGGUGACCGGAAGAGUUCUCUAAUACCCUACAAAGACCACGGAUCUUUGCCACUUCAGGUGCUGUGGCUCAAACCUCUUAAAGUCAUCCCAGGAAAAAGUGUUGAUUGUAGUAUUCUCUCAAUGUAUGUAAAUAGAAUUUAUGUCAUAAUAAUAGUAGGUUCUGAUGGUACUACUUCCACCCAAGGGAGUCACUCUGCUGCACCCUCCUUGUCUGUGUAUACAGUGCUCACCCUUGCAGGAGCAGGAAAGUCCCUUAUCUAGAGCUCAACCCCAGCCCUUGUGCCUUAAUGGUGUGUGUCCUGGGGAGGUGGUUCAAGCAUCCCCCGUCAAUGUAGAGAUGUGGCAGAAACCCGUUCACCUGUUAUAUUGGUAUCUGGCUCCAGAAAGAAACGUUUCAUUGCUUUGACAUAAGAAUAAAUUGAUGAAUGAAGUUAAA